GGGUGAUGGCUCAGUUGAUAAAGUGUCUGCUGCACAAGCAUGAGGACCCGGGUUCAAUCCCUCGGUGCCCA
RNAcentral lists this transfer RNA (71 nucleotides) under Mus musculus (house mouse). Its description in RNAcentral is "tRNA-Val". Lineage: Eukaryota; Metazoa; Chordata; Mammalia; Rodentia; Muridae. The record is from RNAcentral.